ACAGUGUUCUGGCUCUGCCGCUGGUUCCGAUGGAACGAGAGGAAAGUCCGGGCAGCAAAGGGCGCUCCACUUCCGAAAAUAGAAGCUAUUGGCAACAAUAGGUGUAGACAGAAGAAAAUAACCGCCAAGGCUAUAUUAACGAUAUUUUGUCGCUAUGCGGCUUGGGUAAGGGUGAGAAGGUGGUGUAAGAGACCACCGGACGACGGGCGAUCGCCGUGCCGUGUCUGCUGGAGGCUGCAAGUUCAUGUAAACCGUCGUUUGAGAAUAGCCCGUUCGAACACAAGUACGACGGAGGGUAGAAUGCUUCAACUGUAGGGCGACUUACAGGGUAGAUAAAUGGCAGGCUCUUUCUUUAUAGCAAUAUGAGGAAAGAUACAGAACCCGGCUUAUAGGAGCGCUGUUUCU
Molecule: non-coding RNA, 405 nt
Rfam family: Bacterial RNase P class A
About the family: Ribonuclease P (RNase P) is a ubiquitous endoribonuclease, found in archaea, bacteria and eukarya as well as chloroplasts and mitochondria. Its best characterised activity is the generation of mature 5'-ends of tRNAs by cleaving the 5'-leader elements of precursor-tRNAs.
Source: Rfam